RNAcentral lists this ribosomal RNA (439 nucleotides) under uncultured bacterium. RNAcentral's name for it is "partial 16S ribosomal RNA". It matches the Rfam family "Bacterial small subunit ribosomal RNA", at positions 338 to 795 of the family's 1533-position model. The record is from RNAcentral.
CCUACGGGAGGCAGCAGUGGGGAAUAUUGCACAAUGGGCGAAAGCCUGAUGCAGCAACGCCGCGUGAGUGAUGAAGGCCUUCGGGUCGUAAAACUCUGUCCUCAAGGAAGAUAAUGACGGUACUUGAGGAGGAAGCCCCGGCUAACUACGUGCCAGCAGCCGCGGUAACACGUAGGGGGCUAGCGUUAUCCGGAUUUACUGGGCGUAAAGGGGGCGUAGGCGGUCUUUCAAGUCAGGAGUGAAAGGUUGCGGCUCAACCGUAGUAAGCUCUUGAAACUGGGAGACUUGAGUGCAGGAGAGGAGAGUGGAAUUCGUGGUGUAGCGGUGAAAUGCGUAGAUAUUAGGAAGAACACCGGUUGCGAAGGCAGCUCUCUGGACUGUAACUGACGCUGAGGCACGAAAGCGUGGGGAGCAAACAGGAUUAGAUACCCCAGUAGUC